RNAcentral lists this long non-coding RNA (389 nucleotides) under Brachypodium distachyon (stiff brome). RNAcentral's name for it is "long non-coding RNA (BDIS_LNC004105)". Lineage: Eukaryota; Viridiplantae; Streptophyta; Magnoliopsida; Poales; Poaceae. The record is from RNAcentral.
UCUCCUCCCUUUUCUUUAAACCAAGAGCUACUCCUCCCUUUUCUUUUUUUAUGUAAUUUCAAUACGAUUUCAUUUGUGUUCAUGUUUUCCAUUUAUAACCCCACGGAAGUGAAUAGAAAAAAUAAAAAUACCCCUGUGAUACGCCUUCCUUUACCUAUUUAUAGAUUGAUUGAUGUUCAAUGGAGGGAAACUUGCCAUUCCUUCUUUCCUUUGAAAUUUUACAUGUUUUUUUAUUCUGAACUAAUUGUAUCCUUUUUGUUCCCAUCGAGCUUUCUUGCCUAGUGACUAAGGAUUUUCACACUUGUUGUGUCUAGGCUCUGCAAAGAUUUUCUCAUAAAACACUAACAGAAGUGUUAGAGGGAUUCACUUUCGAUAAGAAUCCAAAAGCA